AUACGUAGGUGGCAAGCGUUGUCCGGAUUUAUUGGGCGUAAAGAGCUCGUAGGCGGUUGCGUAAGUCGGAUGUGAAAACUCGGGGCUCAACCCCGAGACGCCAUCCGAUACUGCGCUGACUUGAAUCCAGUAGGGGGGUGUGGAAUUCCUGGUGUAGCGGUGAAAUGCGCAGAUAUCAGGAGGAACACCUAUGGCGAAGGCAGCACUCUGGGCUGGUAUUGACGCUGAGGAGCGAAAGCAUGGGUAGCAAACAGGAUUAGAAACCCCGGUAGUCC
This 275-nucleotide ribosomal RNA is filed under the name uncultured bacterium. RNAcentral's name for it is "partial 16S ribosomal RNA". It matches the Rfam family "Bacterial small subunit ribosomal RNA", at positions 523 to 796 of the family's 1533-position model. The record is from RNAcentral.